CCUACGGGAUGCAGCAGUGGGGAAUAUUGCACAAUGGGCGCAAGCCUGAUGCAGCCAUGCCGCGUGUAUGAAGAAGGCCUUAGGGUUGUAAAGUACUUUCAGUUGGGAGGAAGGCGUUGAUGCUAAUAUCAUCAACGAUUGACGUUACCAACAGAGGAAGCACCGGCUAACUCCGUGCCAGCAGCCGCGGUAAUACGGAGGGUGCAAGCGUUAAUCGGAAUUACUGGGCGUAAAGCGCACGCAGGCGGUUGAUUAAGUUGGAUGUGAAAUCCCCGGGCUUAACCUGGGAAUGGCAUCUAAGACUGGUCAGCUAGAGUCUUGUAGAGGGGGGGUAGAGUUCCAUGUGUAGCGGUGAAAUGCGUAGAGAUGUGGAGGAAUACCGGUGGCGAAGGCGGCCCCUUGGACAAAGACUGACGCUCAGGUGCGAAAGCGUGGGGAGCAAACAGGAUUAGAUACCCGAGUAGUC
Molecule: ribosomal RNA, 466 nt
Filed under: uncultured bacterium
Lineage: Bacteria
Description: bacterial SSU rRNA
Rfam family: Bacterial small subunit ribosomal RNA
Source: RNAcentral